This 395-nucleotide long non-coding RNA is filed under the name Ananas comosus (pineapple). RNAcentral describes it as "long non-coding RNA (ACOM_LNC021810)". Lineage: Eukaryota; Viridiplantae; Streptophyta; Magnoliopsida; Poales; Bromeliaceae. The record is from RNAcentral.
AGUAUUAUAUAUUGUAACCAUAGUUAGUUAAUUCGGAUUCGGCAAAAAUUCGGUACGGAUAUAAUUCGAAUAAAAUUCGUUUUCUAAUUUUUAAAUUCGUUGAAAAAUACGGCUAAAAAACGGAUUUGUCAAUUAUUCGGAUACGUGAUUUAUACGGAUAUUAUACGUUCACCAAUUAAAAAUUCGGGAUCAAAAAUUCGACUAUUAAAUUAAAUUUGUUUUCUUUAAAGAUUUAUACUAUUAGUAUAAAUAUUUAUAUUUCUUAAGAAUAUAAGAAUAAAGAGCUACAAAAUUAAGUUAAUCAAGUAAAAAAAAAUAGCAAACUGUAUUAUACCUGAAAAUAAAUAAAUAAAUAAAGCAAAUAAGAAAUUAAGAUAGUCUAUAAAAAAUUAAAU